GUCCUGGUGGCUCGCAGUGAAACGUGGACUUCUCUCAGAUCCACAUGAACAGAUCGGACUCUCUUUUCUGGGUUUUCUUCCUCCUGUUGCUGGAUGUCUGGAUUCACGCUGACGGUGUCCCUGAGGUGGUGGCUCCAUGUGAAAAGGUGUUUGUUCGUCCGGGUGACGUGGCGGUGCUGCCGUGCCUCCUGAACCCCCGGCAGGACCUGACGUUCUACACCGUGGAGUGGUCCAGGAGGGACGGGCCGGACCAGGUGGACUACAUCCACAUCUACCGGCGGGGGAUCCAGGAGGCCACCGGCCCCACCCGGACCAGCCUGUUCCUGGACCAGCUGGCCCAGGGGAACAUCUCGCUGGCCGUCCUCAACGUGACGCUGGCCGACGGCGGGACCUACUGCUGCACCGUGCCCAGGCUCAGCGGCACGUCGGCAUCCGUGGAGCUGGUUGUUGGUGAGCAGACACUGACGGCGGAGUUCGCCCUCCAACCAAGCCAUUCCGCUUUUCGUCAAGUGUUUCACAUUGAAGUGUUCCAGUGUUCUCGCUGAUCUGUGAUUUUCUUUCUGGUAUUUCCAGACCCAAACUACAGCCGCCCCUCAACAACGUUCCCGCCCCCGACCUCCACAGUGCAGGUGUUCACCGUGGCACCGACCGACGCCGCCGGUCAGUAACCGCUCCCUCGCUCUCCCUCCCUCUCUCCCUCAAUGUUCCGGGCUGUUGGUGUGUUUUGGCUGACCCGUUUCAUGUUCUCACGUCUCACAGGUUCCGGAUCGGAGGUCAGAUCGUUCGCUCCCACCGCGGCGGCGUUCAGCUUCUUCAUCAUCCUCAUCCUCGCUCUCACUGUGGUCUCAAUAACCCUCAGCAAAAGCCCCAGGAACAAAGAGUACGUCAAGGAACCCUGUGAAGACCCUUUAACUGCGGCCCCACUGAACGGCCACGUUUGUGUCUGAUGGCGCGCUAGCUAGCGUAGCGUAGCACAUCGUAUCGUGGGUCCCAGGUUCUGCCCCCGCCGACUGCUGACGGAACUGAAUCCCACCCACCAGGUUUCCCUGGAACUAGCAACUGAACCAUGCCCCCGACUUUAGCAUUAGCAUGUAGCUCUGCGUGCGCCGUCGGAGUCCAGCUGUGGGGAAACGGCCAGAUGUGACGCGCAGCUGGAUGGCGCCGUCCAACGCCGGAGUCCAUGAGUCUCCGGUUCAGGACGUCAAGGUGAACUUAAAGAAGAAAAGUAAUCUGGAGAAUCAGAGGGACACUUUUUCUGUUUUUAAAUUUCAAAUAUUUAAGCUUCUGGUUUCACAAACUGGAAAGAAAAACAUACUGACUGUGAUUAUAUGAAGAAGAGUUGUCCUCAUCAAAUGUUGAUGUGGAAACUUAGAGUUAGGAUCUUUCUUUGUUUGCUGCUCUCAAUCUCACAGCGAAGUGAAAAGGUUGUGACAUCACUACACAUGAAGGCUGCAGAGUCCCGGGAGGACAAGGGCGUUCAGGAAAUAACACUUAACUAAUGUCGUUCUUCGUCCCGCUGCUUGAGUUGGAACUUGUCCAUUUACUUGAAAAUGGCGGCCAUUCUCUUGGACGAGGACCUGUUUGUAUUCUGCUAAUGUAACAUGUUUAUCAGUGUUAACUGCGUGCGUCUCAGCAUCACUCUGUAGCUCCUUUAUUUUCAACAAUCAAAAAAUCUAGAACAUUCAGUGUUUCUUAACAGGUCUUGGAGGAUAUCCGCUCGUCUUUCAUUUCCCUCACUCGUCUCCCGUCAAAGUUCUGUCCUUGACUUUUUUAAAGCUUAUUGUGCAUGUUAACCUUUAAUUCAUUUAAAACGUUGAAGGACCUUUUUUUAUUGAUUUGUAAUUUUAGAUUGUAGAGUGAAAUGUUUACAGUCAAAAGUUUAGUUUUGUUAUUUUAAGCUGAAUGUUUACUGAAGAGAAACGUUUCUGCUGUAAUACUGCUAAAGCAGUUUGAAGUGCAC
RNAcentral lists this long non-coding RNA (1960 nucleotides) under Salarias fasciatus (jewelled blenny). RNAcentral describes it as "lncRNA (ENSSFAG00005014851.1)". Lineage: Eukaryota; Metazoa; Chordata; Actinopteri; Blenniiformes; Blenniidae. The record is from RNAcentral.